CCUACGGGAGGCAGCAGUGAGGAAUAUUGGUCAAUGGGCGUAAGCCUGAACCAGCCAAGUAGCGUGAAGGAUGACGGUUCUAUGGGUUGUAAACUUCUUUUAUAAGGGAAUAACGUGCGGUACGUGUCGGGCUUUGUAUGUACCGUAUGAAUAAGGAUCGGCUAAUUCCGUGCCAGCAGCCGCGGUAAUACGGAGGAUCCGAGCGUUAUCCGGAUUUAUUGGGUUUAAAGGGUGCGUAGGCGGCCUGUUAAGCGUGCGGUGAAAGUUUGGGGCUCAACCAUGGCCUUGCAGUGCAAACUGGCGUGCUUGAGUCUGUUGAAAGCAGGCGGAAUGCGUGGUGUAGCGGUGAAAUGCUUAGAUAUGACGCAGAACCCCGAUUGCGAAGGCAGCCUGCCAAGGCAUGACUGACGCUGAUGCUCGAAAGCGCGGGUAUCGAACAGGAUUAGAUACCCUAGUAGUC
This 460-nucleotide ribosomal RNA is filed under the name uncultured bacterium. Its description in RNAcentral is "partial 16S ribosomal RNA". It matches the Rfam family "Bacterial small subunit ribosomal RNA", at positions 338 to 795 of the family's 1533-position model. The record is from RNAcentral.